This is a long non-coding RNA of Ailuropoda melanoleuca (giant panda), 2998 nucleotides long. The record is from Ensembl. NCBI's taxonomy places the organism in Eukaryota, Metazoa, Chordata, Mammalia, Carnivora, Ursidae.
UGAAACACUGCAUUCCGGGGUCGGAUGCUGAAGAACCCUGCAAUCAAACCCGAGGCCAUAUUCGGAAACAACUGUAUCCGAUGACAGCUUAUUACGGAAGCUGUCCCUCUUCCUGAGCUCGUGUGAGGUUCUUGGUUAAAGGAGCCAUCGUCUUCCCUAAGGAUCAACCCCAGCUACGACUCAGGCCCCAGGACGCAAUCUCCGGGCGAUUCCUGGGCCCCCUCUUCACCUGGGUGGCUGCGCCAGACGUGGUUCGAAGCGCUUCCAGCCUCCUGAGCUCAGAAGAGCAAAAGCAGAUUCUCCCGGGCUUGGGGCUGAGGAGGUUUAAAGGCUGGAAUCCCUGAGGCAAAGCUUUGCUCCAGAAGAAUGAAAACAUGGGAUGAUAUUCCCUAUCUUAGCACAAUGACCUGAGACCAUUUGCCAUGUGAUGUCCCCAGGAAGGCACACGAGAGAAUCACUGAGUGGGCAGACUUUUGUAAGCCAACUACCCAACUACCUUGCCCGCCAUCUUGCCCAGAACCACGGCAGUUGGACUGCCCUGAACCCAGCAGCAAAGCACAGAGCAAGUGGAACGAUAUCUGCUUUCCUUAGUCUUUGCCUACUGAAAAUGACAUCUUACCCUGCCGCUUCCUGCCCUUUGGGAGACUUGAAGCCUUUGCUGCAAACUCUGGGGCCUUGCUAUAACGCACCUGCCGCUGCAGCCACAGAGUUCAGGAUAACAUCGGUUCAUCGUGGGCUCCACCUAAGGGAGUUGAGCUAGCAGAUGAGGCCGCGGGGCUGGGCUUGCCCUUCUGCACCACGGGCAUGAGGAACGAAGUGGUGGCCAGGACGGGUGCCCCGUGAGUCAAGCUGUGGAUUUUCAAACACCCUUGGUUUUCUGUGUCCCUGGUUUCCCACAGAGAUCCCCAUGAGGAAAGAUGCCUGCCUGCUUUUUGAGCUCUCUGGAUCUUCCCAUUAGAUAGCUUCUCUUGGCAUCUGAAAGGCAGCCUGCCAUUCUGUUCUCCUGUGGAAUACAGAUGGCCCAGCCCACGCCUCUCACUAAUGAGGAGCACAUGCAGAGCCUUCUUGCUGGAGGCUCCCUUCAACAACACCAGCCCUCCUUCCCCGUGCAGGCCAGUCACCGUUGACCACGGCAUUUACGGCUGAGAAGGCUGCUUGCUGCUCUCCCACUCACAGAGUUGAACAGAAAAUCUAUCGGGGAGCCCUGGGAAAUGAGUCCCAUUCCACUAGAAUCUGAAACAUUGAAGAUGAAGCUUGGGCUGCCCAUUUGAUCGCAAAGUUGAGGUUUGGGGUUCCAGCUGUCCACAGAGGCUGCUGAGUUUAAAUGUGAGCGAACACUGGAAGUUCUUCAGUAGGAACCUGACGAGACGCUGUACAGAGGUGGGCCUGACAGGUCAAUCUGCCAAUGCUGUGAAACCCUCACUAGGGUUGGGAACUGACGAGAAUGUUAAAAGCACUAAAGUAUAGUAGAAAAAGCAUACAUUUUUGGUGAGACAGGUGCACGUCAAGUCUUAGCUGUUACUACUUCCUACCUUUUUGACCUUGGACAAGGUAUUUCACCCUUCUAUGCACUAAUUCCUUUAUCUGUGAAAAAAGCACAAUGCCCAUGUCAUAGGCUGUUCUGAGGAUUAAAUGGGACAGCACAUGAAAAGACCUUAACAUGGUGCCUUGUACCCAGUAAGCAAUAAAUGGGAAUUUCCUUUUCUUUCUCCUUUUCUUGUUUUCUCUCUCUAGUAGAAAGUUGAAAGACAUACUCCAGCACGAUGGGACAUCAAGGUGUGCUACAAACAAUGGCUCCAUGUGAAUUUCUAUACAAUUCUGCUCUCUUGUUUUAUCUAAAACUUGAUUCAUUUUUGAGACGUGGGAUGGUUUCUUUUUUCCUCGUUAUUGCAAGUCAGAUGCAGGUCUGAUAUUUGUGACUGCAAGAGUUCCACACUGCCAAUACGGACCCCAAUAGAAAGGCAGAACCCCUUUUGGUUUAAAGACUGUAACUCAUUCCUUUAACUCUCCAAGCUACUGAGGGGAGAUCACCAUCACUAGCUGUCUGCAGAGGAUGUCAACAAUUCUGGUCAAUCCUGCCAUGUAUUAGGUGUGGUCUAACUGUUAGUACCCACUGAUCCAGAAAUCUCUCUGGGAGUCAUUUUCAUUCUUUCAGAAAACAAGGGACACUGAGGUAUGCUGUUCUCAAGGAAGUAACAGAUAUUGAUUUAACAUUGUUGCUGACAAAAACAGUUUCAAUUAGCUUGUUGGACAUGGUAGAUCAAUCAUUGUUUGUUCCUCUCCCAACCAGGUCAAGGCCCUUCCCAUAAGAGCGGGUAACUGUUCAUUCCCCCGGAAGGCAGCCCCUUCCAUAUUUGGCCAGUUCCAAAAGCAGUCUUUAAAUUGACUACAGAUCAACCUCUCUAUAACUGGGCUGCUUAGACCUGGUUAUGUUCUCUGGAGCUACACAGAUGAAGUCUGACUCCCAGCAGUAUCAUGUGUCCCCAGUCCCUCACUCUCUACCCCCCAGAUCUUUGAUUCUUGCUUGAAAACAUGUAGAGGGGAACAAUAAAAAUAGUUAAGCAAUCACAUAGAAGAAACUAAAGAGUGUCUUAAGACUGGAGACUCCUUGUUCUAGAGAAGUACUUUUUGGAACAUUAUUGCUGAGGACAGUUACUUGUGUGUUCCUAUCUCCCCUGAGAACAAAAAGAAAUGGUGGGCAUAAGGUAGUGUUUCUAAUCUACAGAUGUUGGCAGACAAAUAAAGGACCGCUGAUUCUUUACUGUGAAUUAAGCCUUCUAUAUCUCUCCUAGAAAGGGAGCUAGUACUUGGUCACAGAACUCUGUUUUCAGGGAUCAUUUUACGGCUACUAGCAUUUUGUGAAACACAUCUUAGGAAAUUAUGGUCUCAGAUAUGCUGGGGGGACUUAGACGUUUGAAAUAACUUCCUGAUUGGUGGUUGUUGGAUCCUGGAACUGGUGGCCAAGGAACAUGAUGAAGUUUCCUUCCUUGGAGGGUUG